AUUGUACGCUGGCGGCAGGCCUAACACAUGCAAGUCGAGCGGAUGAAGGGAGCUUGCUCCUGGAUUCAGCGGCGGACGGGUGAGUAAUGCCUAGGAAUCUGCCUGGUAGUGGGGGAUAACGUCCGGAAACGGGCGCUAAUACCGCAUACGUCCUGAGGGAGAAAGUGGGGGAUCUUCGGGCCUCACGCUAUCAGAUGAGCCUAGGUCGGAUUAGCUAGUUGGUGGGGUAAAGGCCUACCAAGGCGACGAUCCGUAACUGGUCUGAGAGGAUGAUCAGUCACACUGGAACUGAGACACGGUCCAGACUCCUACGGGAGGCAGCAGUGGGGAAUAUUGGACAAUGGGCGAAAGCCUGAUCCAGCCAUGCCGCGUGUGUGAAGAAGGUCUUCGGAUUGUAAAGCACUUUAAGUUGGGAGGAAGGGCAGUAAGUUAAUACCUUGCUGUUUUGACGUUACCAACAGAAUAAGCACCGGCUAACUUCGUG
This 484-nucleotide ribosomal RNA is filed under the name uncultured bacterium. RNAcentral's name for it is "partial 16S ribosomal RNA". It matches the Rfam family "Bacterial small subunit ribosomal RNA", at positions 30 to 507 of the family's 1533-position model. The record is from RNAcentral.